UGGGGAAUAUUGGACAAUGGGGGAAACCCUGAUCCAGCCAUGCCGCGUGAGUGAUGAAGGCCCUAGGGUUGUAAAGCUCUUUUGCCAGGGAAGAUAAUGACGGUACCUGGAGAAUAAGACACGGCUAACUUCGUGCCAGCAGCCGCGGUAAUACGAAGGUGUCUAGCGUUGUUCGGAAUCACUGGGCGUAAAGCGUACGCAGGCGGACUGACAAGUCUGGGGUGAAAGCCCGAAGCUCAACUUCGGAAUUGCCUUGGAAACUGUCAGUCUCGAGUGUAAGAGGGGGUAGCGGAAUUCCAAAUGUAGAGGUGAAAUUCGUAGAUAUUUGGAGGAACACCGGUGGCGAAGGCGGCUACCUGGCUUACAACUGACGCUGAGGUACGAAAGCGUGGGGAUCAAA
RNAcentral lists this ribosomal RNA (400 nucleotides) under uncultured bacterium. RNAcentral's name for it is "bacterial SSU rRNA". It matches the Rfam family "Bacterial small subunit ribosomal RNA", at positions 355 to 772 of the family's 1533-position model. The record is from RNAcentral.